This 465-nucleotide ribosomal RNA is filed under the name uncultured bacterium. RNAcentral's name for it is "partial 16S ribosomal RNA". It matches the Rfam family "Bacterial small subunit ribosomal RNA", at positions 28 to 507 of the family's 1533-position model. The record is from RNAcentral.
GACGAACGCUGGCGGCGUGCUUAACACAUGCAAGUCGAACGGAAAGGCCCUGCUUGCAGGGUACUCGAGUGGCGAACGGGUGAGUAACACGUGGGUGAUCUGCCCUGCACUUCGGGAUAAGCCUGGGAGACUGGGUCUAAUACCGGAUAGGAGCCAUUUUUAGUGUGAUGGUUGGAAAGUUUUUUCGGUGUAGGAUGAGCUCGCGGCCUAUCAGCUUGUUGGUGGGGUAAUGGCCUACCAAGGCGGCGACGGGUAGCCGGCCUGAGAGGGUGGACGGCCACACUGGGACUGAGAGACGGCCCAGACUCCUACGGGAGGCAGCAGUGGGGAAUAUUGCACAAUGGGCGCAAGCCUGAUGCAGCGACGCCGCGUGGGGGAUGACGGCCUUCGGGUUGUAAACUCCUUUCGCGAGGGACGAAGCUUUUUGUGACGGUACCUAGAUAAGAAGCACCGGCUAACUACGUG